Molecule: transfer RNA, 76 nt
Filed under: Desulfobacca sp. RBG_16_60_12
Lineage: Bacteria; Pseudomonadati; Thermodesulfobacteriota; Desulfobaccia; Desulfobaccales; Desulfobaccaceae
Also listed under: 2 other names
Description: tRNA-Arg
Rfam family: tRNA
About the family: Transfer RNA (tRNA) molecules are approximately 80 nucleotides in length. Their secondary structure includes four short double-helical elements and three loops (D, anti-codon, and T loops).
Source: RNAcentral
GCGCCUGUAGCUCAGGGGAUAGAGCAACGGACUUCUAAUCCGUCGGUCGGAGGUUCGAAUCCUCCCAGGCGCGCCA